GUAUACUUGCUGACGUCUGGCAUUCAUCGUUUACGGUGUGGACUACCAGGGUAUCUAAUCCUGUUUGCUCCCCACACUUUCGCACCUCAGCGUCAGUAUCGAGCCAGUAAGCCGCCUUCGCCACUGGUGUUCCUCCGAAUAUCUACGAAUUUCACCUCUACACUCGGAAUUCCACUUACCUCUCUCGAACUCAAGGCUAGCAGUAUUAAAGGCAGUUCCAGGGUUGAGCCCUGGGAUUUCACCUCUAACUUACUAAUCCGCCUACGUGCGCUUUACGCCCAGUAAUUCCGAACAACGCUAACCCCCUCCGUAUUACCGCGGCUGCUGGCACGGAGUUAGCCGGGGUUUCUUUACCAGAUACUGUCAUUAUCAUCUCUGGCGAAAGUGCUUUACGACCCUAAGGCCUUCAUCACACACGCGGCAUGGCUAGAUCAGGGUUUCCCCCAUUGUCUAAGAUUCCCUACUGCUGCCUCCCGUAGGAGUCUGGGCCGUGUCUCAGUCCCAGUGUGGCUGAUCAUCCUCUCAAACCAGCUAUAGAUCGUAGGCUUGGUAGGCCAUUACCCCACCAACUACCUAAUCUAACGCGGGCUAAUCCUUCUCCGAUAAAUCUUUCCCCCGAAGGGCGUAUAAGGUAUUACUCUCAGUUUCCCGAGGCUAUUCCUUAGAGAAGGGCAUAUUCCCACGCGUUACUCACCCGUCCGCCGCUCAUCCCGAAGGAUGCGCUCGACUUGCAUGUAUUAGGCCUGCCGCCAGCGUUCGUUCUGAGCCAGGAUCAAACUCU
This 781-nucleotide ribosomal RNA is filed under the name uncultured bacterium. RNAcentral describes it as "partial 16S ribosomal RNA". The record is from RNAcentral.